AUGUCACCAACUCUGCGAGCUUGGAUCCCAGAGCGAACAGGGCUGCAUGAGAGCGAAUCCUUUUUCCAGCACUUCGAGACUGGCUCGGGUUGGGACAGAUUGAACACCGAAAGUGCUGGCAUACCACAAUCUCUCAGACUACAAAAACUAGGAGGAAAUUAUAGCUGUAUAAGACAGAUCCUUCAGCCAGAGGAAUAUUAUAAGCCUUUGGAUUUUAAAACGCUGAUAUCCAAAAGAAAGUCUGCUCAACACUCUCUUCUGGGAGCCAAAAUCAAGUUCAAAUGGAUCACGCAAGGAGCAAAAGAAGCUGCAACUCACCAGUGCUGCGACAGGCAGCUGAGAGGUAUGACCACAAGUAGAUGUGGUUGGCCGGCGCCGCGGCUCACUAAGCUAAUCCUCCGCCUGCGGCGUCGGCGUCGGCACACCAGGUUCUAGUCCCGGUCGGGGUGCCGGAUUCUGUCCCGGUUGCUCCUCUUCCAGGCCAGCUCUCUGCUGUGGCCAGGGAGUGCAGUGGAGGAUGGCCCAAGUGCUUGGGCCCUGCACCCCAUGGGAGACCAGGAGAAGCACCUGGCUCCUGCCAUCGGAUCAGCGCGGUGCGCCGGCUGCAGCGUGCCAGCCGCGGCGGCCAUUGGAGGGUGAACCAAUGGCAAAAGGAAGACCUUUCUCUCUGUCUCUCUCUCUCACUAUCCACUCUGCCUGUCAAACAAAACAAAACAAAACAAACAAACAAAAAAACCACACAAGUAAACGUGGACAGGAGCCUAGAGACUUAGCAGCAUCACAGGGCUCUACCUACCAGUGACAGAUCAUGAGGGUAGCUAUGACAUGCUUCUUCCCAGAGUGGAGAACUUCUGACGUCUGUUGGAAGCAAUCCAUCCUCAAAUUGGAUAAUUCCCCAAAUUAUUAAUUUUGGCAUCUUGGCCUAGGCUUCCACUUGUGGAAGUGAUCCCAUCCUAUUCGCACUUAUCAGUGAAGAAAUUCUUGAUUUCUAUCAUGGCUGCGACCGUCAGCACACAUUGGGUCACUGUAGCUUAUCCUUCCCAAUUCCCUCCCACACCUACCCUCACCCUACUGGUUCUUAGAAGGAAAUGGGGGUAUUCUGCACAACAACUUUGUUUAAGCUUAGGCUAAAACAUCUUUAGCAAUUUCUUCUUUUUUUACAUUUAAAAAUAUAGAUGAUAGAAGAAUUUGCCUUACUUGGAAAGUUGACAUUUAAAGAUAUUAACUAAGAGGAACUCUCCUUUCUUCUUCUCUGUUAUCCCUCUCUAUGGCUGCAAAGAGUAAAGGAUGAGGGAAGAAAGGCAUUGAGGGUCAAAAAGAAAUCAAAGAAUAAAGACAUUGAGUUAUAUGGGGCCA
This 1356-nucleotide long non-coding RNA is filed under the name Oryctolagus cuniculus (rabbit). Its description in RNAcentral is "lncRNA (ENSOCUG00000031455.1)". Lineage: Eukaryota; Metazoa; Chordata; Mammalia; Lagomorpha; Leporidae. The record is from RNAcentral.